Sebastes umbrosus (honeycomb rockfish) is the source of this 766-nucleotide long non-coding RNA. RefSeq lists it as uncharacterized. The transcript is spliced from 3 exons. The record is from RefSeq and is a predicted model, not a curated record. NCBI's taxonomy places the organism in Eukaryota, Metazoa, Chordata, Actinopteri, Perciformes, Sebastidae.
UGCCCCUGGUCAGAACAGCUGUUUUGCUCCAGAGGCAUUGUGGGUCUGUGUUGCUGUGGCGAUGCCUCCAGUUACGCCAGCUGUUCUACUUCUUGAUGUCAACAUCGCUACUGGCAACCACGAUGAAAACAACAUCAUUUUCAUCAACACAGUCACUGAAACGGAGAGGCCUUGACAGAGGUGAACUUCCUGUGACGACAGGAAAAGGGAGAGACGGAAACGGAGGAUGAGCCAACAUCUGUCGCCGGGGGCAACGGGUGCCAAAACCUCCCCAGCUACGCCCAAUCCAAACUAGAGAGCCUUGCCGUCAAAAAGCAAAGAGGAAGUUUGGCGCAGUCGCCAUGGUUACCUAGCAGUUAUCAGAGUCAGACUGCACUGACUGACCCUCGGAGGGAAGAACGGACCGUCCGCGGGAAGUUCACUUCCUGGGGAGCACAAUGGCUGUUGUUCCAGACAGGACGUGAUGUCAUCAUGAAGGACUUUGGGACAGGAAGGAGCUGAUGUGGGUGAAACUCAGCCUCUACUGUAAAGUGGAGGACGAAGCAUCGUAUCCAUCCAUUUUCUGAUCGACGUCAACAUUAUCAGGUCGUAUUGUGUAUUCAAAGUAAUCCUGUUUACAUUCAUUCACUGUGUGGACAAGAGGAACGAUCACAAUGAGAGGAAGGUUUAUGAAAAUGGCUUUGACAGUUUUGUAUGGUACCAAAAUGGCCAAUAUUAAAUAAAUAAAUGAAAUGAAGAAAUAAAAAAAUCAUGAAUACAUUUAAAA